This is a transfer RNA of Pseudomassariella vexata, 115 nucleotides long. It matches the Rfam family "tRNA". Rfam says of the family: Transfer RNA (tRNA) molecules are approximately 80 nucleotides in length. Their secondary structure includes four short double-helical elements and three loops (D, anti-codon, and T loops). Further hydrogen bonds mediate the characteristic L-shaped molecular structure. tRNAs have two regions of fundamental functional importance: the anti-codon, which is responsible for specific mRNA codon recognition, and the 3' end, to which the tRNAs corresponding amino acid is attached (by aminoacyl-tRNA synthetases). tRNAs cope with the degeneracy of the genetic code in two manners: having more than one tRNA (with a specific anti-codon) for a particular amino acid; and 'wobble' base-pairing, i.e. permitting non-standard base-pairing at the 3rd anti-codon position. The record is from Rfam. NCBI's taxonomy places the organism in Eukaryota, Fungi, Ascomycota, Sordariomycetes, Amphisphaeriales, Pseudomassariaceae.
GGACAGAUGGCCGAGUGGUUAUGGCGCUGCGUUCAGGUGAACUGGAUAAAUUUGUCGCAAUGUGACAGACAUCGCAGUGGAGCAAUCCGCGUGGGUUCGAGUCCCACUCUGUUCA